CGGGGUGUAGCUCAGUCUGGCUAGAGCGCCUGCUUUGGGAGCAGGAGGUCGCAGGUUCGAAUCCUGUCACCCCGA
This 75-nucleotide transfer RNA is filed under the name Phycisphaerales bacterium. RNAcentral's name for it is "tRNA-Pro". It matches the Rfam family "tRNA". Rfam says of the family: Transfer RNA (tRNA) molecules are approximately 80 nucleotides in length. Their secondary structure includes four short double-helical elements and three loops (D, anti-codon, and T loops). The record is from RNAcentral. Lineage: Bacteria; Pseudomonadati; Planctomycetota; Phycisphaerae; Phycisphaerales.